Molecule: ribosomal RNA, 305 nt
Filed under: uncultured bacterium
Lineage: Bacteria
Description: bacterial SSU rRNA
Rfam family: Bacterial small subunit ribosomal RNA
Source: RNAcentral
UUCCUACGGGGGGCAGCAGUGGGGAAUAUUGCACAAUGGGGGAAACCCUGAUGCAGCGACGCCGCGUGAGCGAUGAAGUAUUUCGGUAUGUAAAGCUCUAUCAGCAGGGAAGAAGAUGACGGUACCUGACUAAGAAGCCCCGGCUAACUACGUGCCAGCAGCCGCGGUAAUACGUAGGGGGCAAGCGUUAUCCGGAUUUACUGGGUGUAAAGGGAGCGUAGGCGGCAGUGCAAGUCAGAAGUGAAAGCCCGGGGCUCAACUCCGGGACUGCUUUCGAAACUGUACAGCUUGAUUGCAGGAGAGGC